This is a long non-coding RNA of Artibeus jamaicensis (Jamaican fruit-eating bat), 165 nucleotides long. RefSeq lists it as uncharacterized. The transcript is spliced from 3 exons. The record is from RefSeq and is a predicted model, not a curated record. NCBI's taxonomy places the organism in Eukaryota, Metazoa, Chordata, Mammalia, Chiroptera, Phyllostomidae.
AAAGAAGCAUAACCCAGAAUUAAUUUAGGGGUAUCAGAAGUGCAGCAGGGGCGUCCCUUUCACCAAUGAAUGGAAGAAAAACUUCUGGUAAUGCUGCUAGUCUUUCCUUAUGAACCACCUCCCUGCCUUCAGUCCAGUACACCCCUCGCCUUCUGUCUGACACGA